This 263-nucleotide long non-coding RNA is filed under the name Medicago truncatula (barrel medic). RNAcentral describes it as "long non-coding RNA (MTRU_LNC007575)". Lineage: Eukaryota; Viridiplantae; Streptophyta; Magnoliopsida; Fabales; Fabaceae. The record is from RNAcentral.
CUUAUAAUACGACAACGUAAGAGUACACCACCUCUUAAAGAAUAACAACGUAAGAGUACACCACCUCUUAUAGAACAACAACGUAAGAGUACACCACCUCUUAUAGAACAACAACGUAAGAGUACACCACCUCUCACAAAACACCUGAGCAUAAACACUCACCAAUAACAGCUUCAACUACGACUUCAACAUUUUAGACAACAUUAACAACUUAAGAUUCCAAUACUUUGGAAAGACAACUUACAACUUAGACCAACACCUGC